This 495-nucleotide ribosomal RNA is filed under the name uncultured Glomus. Its description in RNAcentral is "SSU rRNA". It matches the Rfam family "Eukaryotic small subunit ribosomal RNA", at positions 569 to 1071 of the family's 1831-position model. Lineage: Eukaryota; Fungi; Glomeromycota; Glomeromycetes; Glomerales; Glomeraceae. The record is from RNAcentral.
AGCAACCGCGGUAAUUCCAGCUCCAAUAGCGUAUAUUAAAGUUGUUGCAGUUAAAAGCUCGUAGUUGAAUUUCGGGGUUAGUAGAUUGGUCGUGCCACUGGUAUGUACUGGUCUUACUGAUUCCUCCUUCCUGAUGAACCGUAAUGCCAUUAAUUUGGUGUUGCGGGGAGACUGGACUGUUACUUUGAAAAAUUAGAGUGUUUAAAGCAGGCUAACGCUUGAAUACAUUAGCAUGGAAUAAUGAAAUAGGACGUUCGAUCCUAUUUUGUUGGUUUCUAGGAUUGACGUAAUGAUUAAUAGGGGUAGUUGGGGGCAUUAGUAUUCAAUUGUCAGAGGUGAAAUUCUUGGAUUUAUUGAAGACUAACUACUGCGAAAGCAUUUGCCAAGGAUGUUUUCAUUAAUCAAGAACGAAAGUUAGGGAUCGAAGACGAUCAGAUACCGUCGUAGUCUUAACCAUAAACUAUGCCGACUAGGGAUCGGAUGAUGUUAUUUUAA